UACAGGGGGGGCAAGCGUUGUUCGGAAUUACUGGGCGUAAAGGGCCAGUAGGCGGCCAACUAAGUCACACGUGAAAUCCCCAGGCUUAACCUGGGAACUGCGUGUAAUACUGGAUGGCUUGAAUUCGGGAGAGGGAUGCAGAAUUCCAGGUGUAGCGGUGAAAUGCGUAGAUAUCUGGAGGAAUACCGGUGGCGAAGGCGGCAUCCUGGACCGACAUUGACGCUGAACGGCGAAAGCUAGGGGAGCAAACGGG
Molecule: ribosomal RNA, 253 nt
Filed under: uncultured bacterium
Lineage: Bacteria
Description: partial 16S ribosomal RNA
Rfam family: Bacterial small subunit ribosomal RNA
Source: RNAcentral